AUUGCUACACAUAUCAACAUAAAAUAACUUUUCUUUACUACAGGGUGGAUAUUAUUAAGAACCCAUUACAUGAACAAAGUAACAUUAGGCGCAUUCUUCAAGGAUUUUCCUCCCCGUUGACCUUUCAACCUUUUGUAAUUUUUCCGGACUGUUCCCGCUUUCCUCCACUUCCUCCUUCACAGACUGUGUGAAACCAGGACAUUUGGGAAAGGAGCGUUGAUAUUUUUCCCUGAGAAGCUGUAUUGCUUUCCAUCAAUAGACUUGUGUGGGUUUCACAGAUGGGAGAAAUCAACAGGAAUGUAUACAUUCAGCAUAGCUUGGUCUGUCAGUACUUUAUUCUGUUACCUUUCAAAUGAUGGGUCGAGUUUUAAAACAGCAAACUCAAAUGCCUGACAUAGAUGCCUAAAUUUGGAGCUCGACUGUUUAUAUUCAUAGACCCAUUCGUAGUCAUGUAACUCAUGAUAAACUUAAUUGAAAACUGGUCUAGCAAUGUCUGUGAAUACUUUUGGAAGUUUCUAGCACAUAUACCAGCCCUACACCGUCUGAAGUUUUGUCAGGAUGUCUGUGUGAUUGAUUUCCUGCCUUUUCUUGCGCAUCAACCACGAGGGCCUCUCUCUGUGCUCCCCGAUCCUCCUCUGAGCAUGCUCUCUCUUCAGAAUGUUGCUGCUUCCUAUUCCCUCUGAUUGGGAUGGCGUUCUGCAGAUGCUACACAUGGUUUACGCAGGUUUUUUGGGUUGCUGAUCAAAAUUCUCUUGAAGGAAGUCGCCCCUGGUCACCCCAUCGAAAGUAAAAAUUAAAUUGCUGUAGCUUUCUGUCUCCACCAUUAGCUCGGUGAAAGUACACCAUUAUGUUUCCUCCAAGAGAACAACGGUUCUGGGAGGGCUGCUGGUCGAGUACUGUAUGUAUGGGAGUAGAACAGCACAGAGAGGGUAUUAAGGAUCUGUUACACAAAUGAACUGUUUGCGUUAGCAGAUGAGCAAAAAAUAAAGGCAGUAACAAUCCGUAGGAGUAUGAUAGGAUGAGGCAUAGUAUUUCAGUAACUUGAAGUAUUAGGCAAUCACCCUUGCCUAAGGAGAAAGAGCUACUUGAUGGAGGGAUUUCCAGAAAUUGCUAAGGAAGUAGUGCAAAUGAGAAAAAGUGUGCAUAAUAGGACCCUGACAAUGAUAGAUCAACUUCUCAUUCAUCAUCUGUCUACAUAUAUUUCCAUGAUGACAUACUCAGAAAGACACUAGAUUGGCAUUAUCUACUAUCUGGGGGAAAAGUGUGAACAAUAAUUUUCCAGCAAAGAAAUUCUAAAGGAACCAGAGGGCUAAACAUUGGUAAAAAGAACAUAAAAAUGAUUGCAACUAUAAUUGGUUCUGCACAAUAUGCUUCAUGGCAUCUUCCAUGAAAUUUUUUCACUCUCAAUGUUUUGUUGAAGACUUAUGCUUCUAUGUUCAUCAGAGAUAUCAGUCUGUAGUUCUCCUUUUCUGUUAUGUCUCUAUUAGGCUUUGGUAUUAAGGUAAUGUUGGCUUCAUAGAAAGAGUUUGAAAGGAUUUCUUCCCUUUCUAUUGUUUUAACUAUCUUGUGGUGGAUUAGGGUAAGUUCUUGAAACAUUUGGUAGAAAACAGCUUGAAACCAUCGGU
This is a long non-coding RNA of Ochotona curzoniae (black-lipped pika), 1625 nucleotides long. RefSeq lists it as uncharacterized. The transcript is spliced from 2 exons. NCBI's taxonomy places the organism in Eukaryota, Metazoa, Chordata, Mammalia, Lagomorpha, Ochotonidae. The record is from RefSeq and is a predicted model, not a curated record.